CCAAUAGCGUAUAUUAAAGUUGUUGCAGUUAAAAAGCUCGUAGUUGAAUUUCGGAAUCAGUACGCUGGUCGUGCCUUCGGUAUGUACUGGUGUCACUGAUUUCUCCCUUCUGAAGAACCAUCAUGCCAUUAAGUUGGUGUGGCGGGAAAUCAGGACUGUUCCUUUGGAAAAAUUAGAGUGUUUAAAGCAGGCUCGCGCUUGAAUACAUUAGCAUUGAAUAAUGAAAUAGGACGUUGAUCCUAUUUUGUUGGUUUCUAGGAUUGACGUAAUGAUUAAUAGGGAUAGUUGGGGGCAUUAGUAUUCAAUUGUCAGAGGUGAAAUUCUUGGAUUUAUUGAAGACUAACUACUGCGAAAGCAUUUGCCAAGGAUGUUUUCAUUAAUCAAGAACGAAAGUUAGGGGAUCGAAGACGAUCAGAUACCGUCGUAGUCUUAACCAUAAACUAUGCCGACUAGGGAUCGGAUGAUGUUAAUUUUUUAAUGACUCAUUCGGCGCCUUACG
This 499-nucleotide ribosomal RNA is filed under the name uncultured Glomeromycotina. RNAcentral describes it as "partial small subunit ribosomal RNA". It matches the Rfam family "Eukaryotic small subunit ribosomal RNA", at positions 591 to 1092 of the family's 1831-position model. Lineage: Eukaryota; Fungi; Glomeromycota. The record is from RNAcentral.